This 108-nucleotide non-coding RNA is filed under the name Synechococcus sp. PCC 6312. Lineage: Bacteria; Bacillati; Cyanobacteriota; Cyanophyceae; Synechococcales; Synechococcaceae. The record is from RNAcentral.
UGCUCGAUUGGGAAAGCCCGGUGAAAGUCCGGUACUGUGCCGCAACUGUAAAGUCCAAAUAACUUGAGACAGCAGGUUAUUGGAGUAAGUCAGAAUGCCAAUCGAGAA